This is a long non-coding RNA of Mesocricetus auratus (golden hamster), 242 nucleotides long. RefSeq lists it as uncharacterized. The transcript has 3 exons. NCBI's taxonomy places the organism in Eukaryota, Metazoa, Chordata, Mammalia, Rodentia, Cricetidae. The record is from RefSeq and is a predicted model, not a curated record.
CAAUCUCUCUCUCUGUCUGCCACAACUCUAGUAUCUCAAAGAGUGCCUGAGACAUAUUCAAUAAACACUAGUUGCUUGUGACCUCUGGACUAGCUCACAAGUGACACCAUGUAUCCACUUCUGGUUUCAGUUGCCAGAGCACAUUAAUGAGUUACAACAAAAAACGGCACCCAGGGACACAGCACCCGGGACUGAAGCUCUUACCACGGAGGCAGAAAUGCACAGCAGACAAAUAUCAAAGG